UCACUUUGGCAGCACAUAUACUAAAACUGGAACAAUACAGAGAGGAUAAGAAUGGUCUCUGCACAAGGAUGACACACAAAUUCAUGAAGAAUUACAAAAAAAA
Alexandromys fortis (reed vole) is the source of this 103-nucleotide small nuclear RNA. The record is from RefSeq and is a predicted model, not a curated record. NCBI's taxonomy places the organism in Eukaryota, Metazoa, Chordata, Mammalia, Rodentia, Cricetidae.